ACCUUGAUGUAGCUCACAUGAAUUCAGCAACUGUGAUAGCAGUGUAGGUGGUUAGCAGUACUUCAGAAGGUCAUUCCUAGCAAGGGCUGCUAAUGGCUAGCCAAUGCUCUAGGAAGACAUUGAAACCAGUCAACUUCUUGCCUUGAUACUACUGAAGGCACAUUGGGUGGCUGGACUUUGAAAGCAGGCUUCUGGUUAUAGGUGAUGCAACUUGCAAAACAAUCCUAAAAUAUGAAACAAGAAUAAUAAUAUUUAAAUGUAACAUAAUCAUUAUACUUUUUUACCCAUCAAAGUGAAUUCAUUUCAUUCUCUUUCAUCUGUGCUCAUACUUUGCAUCAAAUAUUGGGUAAACUAAAGUGUAUAGGAAGAAAUAAAUGUUUUCAUAGUCAUUACUCUACAAUGGGAGUGCUAAAAUUCAAGCACAUCUUUUUCAGAAGCUUUGUUAAAUCCAGUGGAGUAUCCCAGAUAGUUUUCACCUUCCUUCUGAUUCCAUGUUCCUUGACUCUGAAUUUCAGAGCACCCCCUAUUAUCCCAAAUGUGCCUUUUCUCUGGGCCUGGAAUGCCCCAUCUGAAUUUUGCCUUGGAAAAUUUGAUGAGCCACUAGAUAUGAGCCUCUUCUCUUUAAUAGGAAGCCCCCGAAUAAACGUCACCGGGCAAGGUGUUACAAUAUUUUAUGUUGAUAGACUUGGCUACUAUCCUUAUGUAGAUCCAACGACAGGAGCAAUUGUGCAUGGAGGAAUCCCCCAGAAGAUACCCUUAAAAGAUCAUUUGGACAAAGCUAGGAAAGACAUUAUUUUUUAUAUGCCAGUAGACAAUCUGGGAAUGGGUGUUAUUGACUGGGAAGAAUGGAGACCCACUUGGGUAAGAAACUGGAAACCUAAAGAUAUUUACAAGAAUAAGUCUAUUGAGAUGGUUCAGCAACGAAACCCACAACUUAGUCUCACACAAGCCACUGAUAUGGCAAAACAAGAAUUUGAAAAGGCAGCAAAGGAUUUCAUGCUAGAGACUAUAAAACUGGGAAAAGCACUUCGGCCAAAUCACUUGUGGGGUUAUUAUCUUUUCCCGGACUGUUACAACCAUCACUAUAAGAAACCUGGUUACAAUGGAAGUUGCUUCGAUGUAGAAAUAAAAAGAAAUGAUGAUCUCAGCUGGUUGUGGAAUGAAAGCACUGCCCUUUACCCAUCUAUUUAUUUGAACACCCAACAGACUGCUGUAACUGCUAUGCUCUAUGUGCGCAAUCGAGUCCAGGAAGCCAUUAGGGUUUCUAAAAUACCCAAUGCAAACAAUCCACUUCCAGUUUUUGUAUAUGCUCGCCUAGUUUUUACUGAUCAAGUUUUGAAAUUCCUUUCUAAGGAUGAACUGAUAUAUACACUUGGUGAAAGUGUUGCUCUGGGUGCUUCUGGAAUUGUAAUAUGGGGAAGCCUCAGUAUAAUGAGAAGUAUGAAAUCUUGCUUGCUCCUAGACACUUACAUGGAGACUAUACUGAAUCCUUAUAUAAUCAACACCACACUAGCAGCCAAAAUGUGUAGCCAGGUUCUUUGCCAGGAGCAAGGAGUGUGUGUAAGGAAAGACUGGAAUUCAAGUGACUAUCUUCACCUGAACCCAGAUAAUUUUGCAAUUGAAAUUGAGAAAGGUGGAAAGUUCACAGUACGUGGAAAACCAACAUUUGAAGACCUGGAGGAGUUUUCGGAAAAAUUUUAUUGCAGUUGUUAUACCACUUUGAGUUGUAAGACGAAAGCUGAUGUAAGAGACACUAACGUUGUUGACGUAUGUAUUGCGGAUGGUGUCUGUAUAGAUGCCUCUCUAAAACCUCCCAAGGAGACAGAGGAGUCUUCUCAAAUUUUCUACAGUCCCUCAUCCUCCACACCAUCUGCCACAAUGUUCAUUUGGAGGUUGGAAGUCUGAGAUCAAGGUGUUAGCAGAAUUGGUUUUUCUCUGAGAGUCACGAGGGAAAAAUGUGUUUCAGGUGUCUUCCCUUGGCUUGUAGGAAAUGAGAAAACCAUGACUAUCAUCACCAAAAUCCUUGAGUUUUAAGUGCACCCACUCUCCGAGAUGCUGUGGGGAAAAGGCAAGUUGCAAAGAUAGGCCUUCCUUCAAGAUAGUCAGAUUUUUGUGGUAUUAUUCUCAACCUUUUUGACACCAUAGAGGCUUUGGGAAUCUGAUGAAGCCUAUUGCUCUUUUUCCAGAAGAUAUUUAUAUAAGAUUAUAAGAAAAAUAUGUACACAGCUUAUUUUAUUUCAUUAGAUCAAAAUGUCUUUUAUAAGGAAUUGUGCCUUUUCCAUCAAUUUUAGCAUAAAAAAGUAAUUUCAGGCAAUAUGCUUAGAAAUUGGGGGAGCUAAAAAAGAAAUUCAUAGUGUAUAAAUAAAACUAAAAACAAAUUUUAAUUUUGCU
Molecule: non-coding RNA, 2391 nt
Organism: Saimiri boliviensis boliviensis (Bolivian squirrel monkey)
Lineage: Eukaryota; Metazoa; Chordata; Mammalia; Primates; Cebidae
Source: RefSeq, a predicted model, not a curated record